This 358-nucleotide unclassified non-coding RNA is filed under the name soil metagenome. Its description in RNAcentral is "partial contains 5.8S ribosomal RNA, internal transcribed spacer 2, and large subunit ribosomal RNA". The stretch from base 1 to 120 matches the Rfam family "5.8S ribosomal RNA", at positions 35 to 154 of the family's 154-position model. The record is from RNAcentral.
GAUGAAGAACGUAGCGAAAUGCGAUAAGUAAUGUGAAUUGCAGAAUUCAGUGAAUCAUCGAAUCUUUGAACGCACAUUGCGCCCGCCAGUAUUCUGGCGGGCAUGCCUGUCCGAGCGUCAUUUCAACCCUCGAACCCCUCCGGGGGGUCGGCGUUGGGGACCUCGGGAGCCCCUAAGACGGGAUCCCGGCCCCGAAAUACAGUGGUGGUCUCGCCGCAGCCUCUCCUGCGCAGUAGUUUGCACAACUCGCACCGGGAGCGCGGCGCGUCCACGUCCGUAAAACACCCAACUUCUGAAAUGUUGACCUCGUAUCAGGUAGGAAUACCCGCUGAACUUAAGCAUAUCAAUAAGCGGAGGA